CUUCUGAAUAAUACGUGGAAUUAAGUUAGUAUANCGCAUGAUAUGCAAAUGAAAGCUACGGCACUAAAGGAGAGCUUUGCGUCCUAUUAGCUAGUUGGUAAGGUAAGAGCUUACCAAGGCGAUGAUAGGUAGCCGGCCUGAGAGGGUGGACGGCCACAAGGGGGACUGAGAUACGGCCCUUACUCCUACGGGAGGCAGCAGCC
RNAcentral lists this ribosomal RNA (203 nucleotides) under uncultured Leptotrichia sp. RNAcentral describes it as "partial 16S ribosomal RNA". It matches the Rfam family "Bacterial small subunit ribosomal RNA", at positions 156 to 355 of the family's 1533-position model. The record is from RNAcentral. Lineage: Bacteria; Fusobacteriati; Fusobacteriota; Fusobacteriia; Fusobacteriales; Leptotrichiaceae.